CAACAGGGAUUGCCUCAGUAACGGCGAGUGAAGCGGCAAGAGCUCAAAUUUUAAAUCUGCCUUUUAGGCCGAGUUGUAAUUUGUAGAGGAACGUUCGGUGACGUCCAGGUCUGAGUCUUCUGGAAGGAAGCGCCGAUGAGGGUGAGAGCCCCGUACGACCGACGACUUAGCCAUGUGAACGCCCUUCGAAGAGUCGAGUUGUUUGGGAAUGCAGCUCAAAGCGGGUGGUAAAUUCCAUCUAAAGCUAAAUAUUGGCCAGAGACCGAUAGCGCACAAGUAGAGUGAUCGAAAGAUGAAAAGCACUUUGGAAAGAGAGUGAAAAAGUACGUGAAAUUGUUGAAAGGGAAGCGCUUGCGACCAGACUUGAUCGUUCAGUUCAAGGGUUCUUUUGGACCCGGUACUUCUGUCUGAUCAGGCCAACAUCAGUUCGGACGGUUGGAUAAAAGCUGUGGGAACGUAGCUCUUCGGAGUGUUAUAGCCCUUUGCAUAAUACAGCCAGACCGGACUGAGGAAUGCCUUUUGUAGGAUGUUGGCGUAAUGGUUGCCAGCGGCCCGUCUUGAAACACGGACCAAGGAGUCUAACAUCCAUGCGAGUGUUUGGGUGGAAAACCCGCACGCGAAAUGAAAGUGAACGGAGGUGGGAGCUUCGGCGCACCAUCGACCGAUCCUGAUGUCCUCGGAAGGAUUUGAGUACGAGCAUGGCUGUUGGGACCCGAAAGAUGAUGAACUAUGCGUGAAUAGGGCGAAGCCAGAGGAAACUCUGGUGGAGGCUCGCAGCGGUUCUGACGUGCAAAUCGAUCGUCAAAUUUGCGUAUA
This 816-nucleotide ribosomal RNA is filed under the name Paramirandina cymbiformis. RNAcentral describes it as "Microthyriaceae sp. LL-2022b partial large subunit ribosomal RNA". It matches the Rfam family "Eukaryotic large subunit ribosomal RNA", at positions 66 to 919 of the family's 3401-position model. The record is from RNAcentral. Lineage: Eukaryota; Fungi; Ascomycota; Dothideomycetes; Microthyriales; Microthyriaceae.